AACACCCGCUGUUCCUCUGUAAUAAUCCAUAUAAACAGAUUAACAUGCUCUGCUUCACAGGGACUGGUGCGGCCGGUUGGGAUUCGGCUGCGCUCUUGCAAAGGGAAUCAAUGAAAACCAAAGCUAGGUCCCGGCUCAGGCUGGAGGUCGCGGCAACGCGGUAGUUGCGAGCUCGCGGGGCCGUCCCGCGCCUCGCCGACCUUGAACUCCGACAAGUCUUUCUCCAGCCCCCCACCCCCACCCCCCGCGACUCCCACCCUGCCGACGCUCCUCAGUGACAGGGCAAGUGCUUUAAAGUUCUGCUUUUCACCUCUGGCCGAGUCAGAACGACAGCAGAGCUGCCGCAGAAAAGAGUUUGCGUACUGCUCUGGCUUUGAGAAACCGAACUUUGCAAAUGUGGCUGUUCUGGGCCGCGAGGCUGAGGCCGGUCACUGGUUUGAAAAAGGCCAAACAAAUGCGCACCGCCGCAGACAAAACACUCCACUUCGGUAGAGUCGUGCUGCUUGCCUGCUUCCCCCCCCCCCCUUUUUUUUUUACAAAGCACCUGGAGCGGUGAAGCGCCGGUCGUCCCGACUUUAGUAGGCUCUUCUCUGACUUGUGGACAUUUGGGAGUUCUGGGGAGUGGGUGAGGGAGUCUCUGAUGUAUUUCGAGUGUGAUUUGAGCACAACCUUUGUGUUUACACGAACCGCUUAGAGCCUGGUUGGGUCUCUGUACUGGGGGAGAAGAAAAAUCUUAGUCGCCUGUGGGUUACAUGUCUUCAGAAUCACAAAUAAACGCACAACUGUGGAAAACUCAGUUUUAAAUCCCAUCCUCCCCUCCUUCUGGCUCUCGCCAGUGUUCGCCUCCGAAUUAAAUGACUGUUAUUGUGUAUCGGCCCGCAUUACAGCAAAGACUUGCUUAUUUCUCAUUUGCAAAUUGCGGACUCUAUUGCAAGAUUUCAGAGAAUGUUUCCUUAGAGGAAAAAUUUUAAAUCUCGUUUUCUCUCCUUUUCUUCCGAAGAAGUCGACAUUUGGUCUAGGAAAUGGAACUCUUCAGGAGGUAGGGGUGGCACUCUUGGAAACCUCCAAAAACAGCUUCAAGAGUCAAAACCCAGUGGUGCCUCCAGCUGGAAAAUGUAUGCCCAAUGGAAGACUCCUGUAGCAUCUCACACACUGUGAGCCUAAGACGGGUACCUAAUUCUUAGAGUCGAAUGGCAUGGCAGCCCUUUUUCUCCAUGAAAGAAAACACCCUGGGAGGUGGUAGGUUUCCUCUUGGGUUGCUCUCAAAUUAAUGACCUUGCCCUUUUCCAGCACUUUCCCCACUGAAAGGAUGCAAAAAUGCAGCACUAUUUAACAGAUUCAGGGAGGGAGUUCCCUGGUGGUCUAGUG
This 1368-nucleotide long non-coding RNA is filed under the name Sus scrofa (pig). RNAcentral describes it as "lncRNA (ENSSSCG00060026586.1)". Lineage: Eukaryota; Metazoa; Chordata; Mammalia; Artiodactyla; Suidae. The record is from RNAcentral.